Long non-coding RNA from Corapipo altera (White-ruffed manakin), 246 nucleotides. RefSeq lists it as uncharacterized. The transcript has 3 exons. Lineage: Eukaryota; Metazoa; Chordata; Aves; Passeriformes; Pipridae. The record is from RefSeq and is a predicted model, not a curated record.
GGACUGCGCACGCGCGCGGUGGGGGAGGAGCCAAGGGCGGGACUAUGGGGAUGCCUGUGCUCCCAGCUCCUCCUGAACCCCAGCAGAGCUCCAAGGACACCCUCUGCGUUUGCUGACUUUCUUCCCAUGUUUGCCUUAACCUGGAGCUCUUUGUGGCCGUGGGUUUUCCAGUGCCUGAUGUGGCCGGGAGAGAAGAUGUUAACUGAGAGAUCCAGAUCCAUUCAUCCAGUGAACUAAUGUUAAAUA